GAAAGAACAGAGAAAGAAUGG
This 21-nucleotide ribosomal RNA is filed under the name Zaptyx pinto. RNAcentral describes it as "Hemiphaedusa pinto partial 5.8S rRNA". The record is from RNAcentral. Lineage: Eukaryota; Metazoa; Mollusca; Gastropoda; Stylommatophora; Clausiliidae.